RNAcentral lists this long non-coding RNA (460 nucleotides) under Jatropha curcas. Its description in RNAcentral is "long non-coding RNA (JCUR_LNC000165)". The record is from RNAcentral. Lineage: Eukaryota; Viridiplantae; Streptophyta; Magnoliopsida; Malpighiales; Euphorbiaceae.
GCGAGUGAUAAGUGUCAGAAGGAGAAAAGAAAGACAAUCAAUGGAGAUGAUUUGUUGUGGGCGAUGGCAACUCUAGGCUUUGAGGACUAUAUUGAACCACUUAAGGUGUACCUUGCUAGGUACAGGGAGGUAACUAAUCUUUCACUUUUGGAAACAUGUGCUUUUUUUUCUGUAUAUGCUUGAUUUCUUUUGGUAUUUGUUGGCUGGAUGGUGUUCUAACUAUUUUCCAUUUUGUCAUUUUGGUUAUCCUGGAUGACUGUGAUGUUGUAGAUGGAGGUAACUGAACCUCUCCCCCUCAACUAUACAGUUUAUUAGUUUCUUCUUAGAGUAUGUUAUGCAAUAUCUGGACUUAAAUUGCAAGCUAAAAUUUGGCAGGGUGACACUAAGGGAUCUGCUAGGGGUGGAGAUGGAUCUGCUAAGAGGGAUCCAAUUGGAGGUCUGCCUGGUCAAAAUCCACAGG